RNAcentral lists this ribosomal RNA (305 nucleotides) under uncultured bacterium. RNAcentral's name for it is "bacterial SSU rRNA". It matches the Rfam family "Bacterial small subunit ribosomal RNA", at positions 336 to 657 of the family's 1533-position model. The record is from RNAcentral.
UUCCUACGGGAGGCAGCAGUCGGGAAUAUUGCGCAAUGGAGGAAACUCUGACGCAGUGACGCCGCGUAUAGGAAGAAGGUCUUCGGAUUGUAAACUAUUGUCGUUAGGGAAGAAAAAGGACAGUACCUAAGGAGGAAGCUCCGGCUAACUACGUGCCAGCAGCCGCGGUAAUACGUAGGUGGCAAGCGUUGUCCGGAAUUACUGGGUGUAAAGGGAGCGUAGGCGGGAAGCCAAGUCAGCUGUGAAAACUACGGGCUUAACCUGUAGACUGCAGUUGAAACUGGCUUUCUUGAGUGAAGUAGAGG